Molecule: ribosomal RNA, 237 nt
Filed under: Hyalopterus pruni
Lineage: Eukaryota; Metazoa; Arthropoda; Insecta; Hemiptera; Aphididae
Description: partial 12S ribosomal RNA
Source: RNAcentral
AAUCCACGAUUAAUUUUACUUAUUUUAUUUAAUUCAUAUAUCGCUGUCAUGAAUAUAUUUAAAAAUUUAUUUUCUUUAAUUAUUUUAAUAAUUUAUGUUAAGUCAAGAUGUGGUUUAUAAAUAAGAAUAUAAUGGGUUACAUUAAAUUUUAUUUUUGGAUUUAAAAUGAAAAUUAAAAUGAAAUUGGAUUUAAUAGUAAGUUUAAUUAAUUUAUUAGUAUGAAUAAAGAUCUAAAUU